Molecule: unclassified non-coding RNA, 228 nt
Filed under: soil metagenome
Description: partial contains small subunit ribosomal RNA, internal transcribed spacer 1, and 5.8S ribosomal RNA
Source: RNAcentral
UCUCCGUAGGUGAACCUGCGGAGGGAUCAUUACAGAGUUCGCGCCCCUCGCGGGUAGAUCUCCCACCCUGUGUUAUCGCUACCGCGUUGCUUUGGCGGGCCGUCGGGCUCGACCCCGCCGCUGGCUCCGGCCGGCGCGCGCCCGCCAGAGACCCCCCAUCCUGAAUAUACGUAUCGUCUGAGUACUAUAUAAUAGUUAAAACUUUCAACAACGGAUCUCUUGGUUCUG